AAAAAAAAAACGAAGAAGAUUGCAGCGGACUGCUGCAUCAUUAAUAAAAAU
RNAcentral lists this non-coding RNA (51 nucleotides) under Heterosigma akashiwo. Lineage: Eukaryota; Raphidophyceae; Chattonellales; Chattonellaceae. The record is from RNAcentral.